This 407-nucleotide ribosomal RNA is filed under the name uncultured bacterium. RNAcentral's name for it is "partial 16S ribosomal RNA". It matches the Rfam family "Bacterial small subunit ribosomal RNA", at positions 30 to 526 of the family's 1533-position model. The record is from RNAcentral.
AUUGAACGCUGGCGGCAGGCCUAACACAUGCAAGUCGAGCGGAGCUGCGGACGGGUGAGUAAUGACUAGGAAUCUGCAUGGUCGUGGGGGAUAACGUCCGGAACCGGGAGCAGAUAUCGCCAACUAUCGGAUGAGCCUAGGGCGGAUUAGCUAGUUGGUGGGGUAAGGGCCUACCAAGGCGACGAUCCGUAACUGGUCUGAGAGGAUGAUCAGUCAAACUGGAACUGAGACACGGUCCAGACUCCUACGGGCGGCAGCAGGGGGGAAGAUUGGACAAUGGGCGAAAGCCUGAUCCAGCCAUGCCGCGUGUGGGAAGAAGGUCUUCGGAUUGUAAAGCACUUUAAGUUGGGAGGCGUUACCAACAGAAGAAGCACCGGCUAACUUCGUGCCAGCAGCCGCGGUAAUUC